GUGGGAUUAUUGGCUACCGGUUCCUAAUUCAAACAUUUCAAUCUAACGAUUCCUGCAAAUAAAAAAAAAAACGAAUGCAUUUUCUAAGUCAAAAAUGGUGUUCCAAAUGUUUACACUAGUGUUCAUCAUUUGAAUGUGUGGUGUUCAGUUUUUAAUGCCUUUGUGUUUCACUUUUGAACACUUGAUGUUAGAGUUCUUAACACUUAGUGUUCAUCAAUUGAAUGUGUGGUGUUCAGUUUUUAAUGCCUUUGUGUUUCAUUUUUGAACACUUGAUGUUAGAGUUCUUAACACUUAGUGUUCAUCAAUUGAAUGUGUGGUGUUCAGUUUUUAAUGCCUUUGUGUUUCAUUUUUUGAACACUUGAUGUUAGAGUUCUUAACACUUAGUGUUCAUCAAUUGAAUGUGUGGUGUUCAGUUUUUAAUGCCUUUGUGUUUCAUUUUUGAACACUUGAUGUUAGAGUUCUUAACACUUAGUGUUCAGCUAAUAUACGUGGAUGUAAAAAAAAUCAUCAUUUAUUCCGUAUAACAGACAGACGAUCACAGACUGGUUAUUCAUCAGUUUAGGAAAUCAUCAGAACAAAGCUGACAGUUAUUUACGUUUAAUCUAAAUCCUGUUCUUUAAUUCGUCUUUUAUGUUGAAUAUUGAAAAUUUGGAUAUAACAGUUAUGAAUAUUUGACAAAUAUAUAUCUGACAUGAGAAAAUAACAAGGAAGCCAUCGAACUACCUAUAGAGAUUAUCCUAACUUGUUACUCACUUCUUUCCUGUUCAUGUGGGAUAGAAGUCCCUUCUCUAGUUCUCUUCCUUAUGUGUAUCCAUUCUUCGUUUAACC
This 828-nucleotide long non-coding RNA is filed under the name Mytilus galloprovincialis (Mediterranean mussel). Lineage: Eukaryota; Metazoa; Mollusca; Bivalvia; Mytilida; Mytilidae. The record is from RNAcentral.